UGCUCCACCAGUUCAUAUGACAGGGGUACCCCCUUCUGAUAUGAAGAAGAAGAGAGAUCAGCCAUAGGAAGUAUGGCCCUGGUGGUGCUGUGGCGGCUGCAUUGUCGCCAAUGCCGAUUUCGGCUUUAAUUCCUCUGAGUAGAGACUUUUCAGGCUGGAAAAAACAUAGAGCAAGGCCUUUUCAGACAAUAAAGAAGCCAUAUUAAGUGGAGUUUGAGAGUCUAGCAUUCCUCAUUUAAAAACUGUAACGCAGCUGCUUGCAAACAUGGAAAACUCCCAUGGAAAAAUUUUAGUGUUUGUGUUUCUUUGAACCCAUAAUUGUAUUUCUUAUAAUUUGCAAUU
Beta vulgaris subsp. vulgaris (sugar beet) is the source of this 342-nucleotide long non-coding RNA. RefSeq lists it as uncharacterized. NCBI's taxonomy places the organism in Eukaryota, Viridiplantae, Streptophyta, Magnoliopsida, Caryophyllales, Amaranthaceae. The record is from RefSeq and is a predicted model, not a curated record. The transcript has 2 exons.